RNAcentral lists this ribosomal RNA (464 nucleotides) under uncultured bacterium. RNAcentral's name for it is "partial 16S ribosomal RNA". It matches the Rfam family "Bacterial small subunit ribosomal RNA", at positions 338 to 795 of the family's 1533-position model. The record is from RNAcentral.
CCUACGGGGGGCUGCAGUAGGGAAUUUUCGUCAAUGGGCGCAAGCCUGAACGAGCAAUGCCGCGUGAACGAGGAAGGUCUUCGGAUCGUAAAGUUCUGUUGAAGGGGAAAAAGAGCGGAGAGAGGAAAUGCUUUCUGAUUGAUAUUACCCUUCGAGGAAGUCACGGCUAACUACGUGCCAGCAGCCGCGGUAAUACGUAGGUGGCGAGCGUUAUCCGGAAUGAUUGGGCGUAAAGGGUGCGUAGGCGGCCUGCUAAGUCUGGAGUGAAAGGUACCGGCUCAACCGGUACAGGCUCUGGAAACUGGCGGGCUAGAGAGCGUCAGAGGGGGGUGGAAUUCCAAGUGUAGCAGUGAAAUGCGUAGAUAUUUGGAAGAACACCGAUGGCGAAGGCAGCCCCCUGGGACGCAACUGACGCUCAUACACGAAAGCGUGGGGAGCAAACAGGAUUAGAUACCCGUGUAGUC